RNAcentral lists this unclassified non-coding RNA (862 nucleotides) under Bombus terrestris (buff-tailed bumblebee). RNAcentral describes it as "misc RNA ENSBTSG00005022263.1". The record is from RNAcentral. Lineage: Eukaryota; Metazoa; Arthropoda; Insecta; Hymenoptera; Apidae.
CGCGAGCUUUCUAUCGCAAACGUCCAAGUCGUCUCGCAACCGAUACACAACACACUACACAGUGAAGAAAAAAAAAGUGGAAAGUUUACGAGGGAAGAGCGCGCACGCGUACACUUCGCCUACGUGCUGCCCAAUGUUGUGUGAGGUGCACUGGUAACGUGCACACUCUGCGUUACCAAAAGGGACUAUGCUCUAAGGAAGAAGGAUGAAAGGACAGGUCGGGAAGAGGAGGAGGGAGAAGGAGAAGAUUCGUAACGGGGUUUGGAGGGGUAAAGUCAGGGAAAAGGAACAGGACACGCGGUUCGAUUAUAAACGUCGGUUGAUAUUCGCCAACAUGGACGGAACAUUAGAAAAACACGAAGCCUGGCAUCUGGAUGUCGUAUAAAAUUGUUCCCACGAGCAACAUGCGGCUUGUAUAUAUAUAUAUAUAAUUGGCAAGACAUAGCGUUGUAAACAGACAAGAGUAUCGCAAGUGUCUUCCUUCGUAGUACACGAAGUAUGUAAGUGCCGUAGUAAACCAUGCGGGACAUCGGUGAUCGCGCAGGACGAGAUCGAAGAGUACACAAGCAACGAAAAGAAAGAAAAGAAGAAACGAGAAAAUGCAAUCCAUGCACUUACCGAUAAGUGGUAAAAUUUAGUAUUAAACUUUAGAUCCAUUUGUCAAUCAGUUAACAUACCGAUUGUUCGAUCUCGUUAAUUAUAUGACGAAAUUAUCACGGUUCGUUUUAGUAGAUACCUACCAUACCUAUUCGUUAAUUUUUCUUCUAUAAACCGACUGUGAUUACUAACUACUCUUAUUUAAGUAAUUAAUUUUUCUCACUUCCUUCGUAGUAUAAACAUUAAGGAUACGUAUGUUAAUACG